AUGCCCAGCACCUCCUCUCCACGACUAGGCACCGCUCCUCCUCCAAGCCCAGGCGCUUCUCCUCCUCCACGCCCAGCACCUCACUGCUCGCCCAGCAGUAGAUCCUCUACUUCUCACCUACAGAUCAAGAGAUCAGUUAAGCAGAGUAUCAGCCGCAGAUCAAUUGAUCAACACAGAGGACUAUCAUCUGUAGCAGAAGUAUCUGUAGGAGCAGUAUCUUCUGUAGGAGCAGUAUCUUCUGUAGCAGCAAUGUUAUCUCGUUUUCCUCUAUGUAUGGUCAUUGUCAGGAAAAAAUAUAUUAUAUGUUCGAUGUCUUCUUCGCCCCCCCUAUCGUCAAAUCCUGGCUCCGCCCCUGUAUCAGCAGUAUCUGUAGCAAGAUCAAAGAUCAAACUUUUUUUUACAUCAGAUCAAAGAUCAAACUUGCCCGGUGCCUCUGCUCUUCAGGUACAACGAUUUUAUGACGUUUUAAAACAUGAGCAAACUGAACAUCAUAACAUGUUUCACUUAGGAUGA
This 513-nucleotide ribosomal RNA is filed under the name Triticum aestivum (bread wheat). RNAcentral's name for it is "partial small subunit ribosomal RNA". The record is from RNAcentral. Lineage: Eukaryota; Viridiplantae; Streptophyta; Magnoliopsida; Poales; Poaceae.